This 484-nucleotide ribosomal RNA is filed under the name uncultured bacterium. RNAcentral's name for it is "partial 16S ribosomal RNA". It matches the Rfam family "Bacterial small subunit ribosomal RNA", at positions 30 to 507 of the family's 1533-position model. The record is from RNAcentral.
AUUGAACGCUGGCGGCAGGCCUAACACAUGCAAGUCGAGCGGAUGAAGGGAGCUUGCUCCUGGAUUCAGCGGCGGACGGGUGAGUAAUGCCUAGGAAUCUGCCUGGUAGUGGGGGAUAACGUCCGGAAACGGGCGCUAAUACCGCAUACGUCCUGAGGGAGAAAGUGGGGGAUCUUCGGACCUCACGCUAUCAGAUGAGCCUAGGUCGGAUUAGCUAGUUGGUGGGGUAAAGGCCUACCAAGGCGACGAUCCGUAACUGGUCUGAGAGGAUGAUCAGUCACACUGGAACUGAGACACGGUCCAGACUCCUACGGGAGGCAGCAGUGGGGAAUAUUGGACAAUGGGCGAAAGCCUGAUCCAGCCAUGCCGCGUGUGUGAAGAAGGUCGUCGGAUUGUAAAGCACUUUAAGUUGGGAGGAAGGGCAGUAAGUUAAUACCUUGCUGUUUUGACGUUACCAACAGAAUAAGCACCGGCUAACUUCGUG